GACGAACGCUGGCGGCGUGCUUAACACAUGCAAGUCGAACGGGCCUGUCUUCUUUUUUGGGGGGUGGGUUGAGUGGCGAACGGGUGAGUAUCACGUGAGUAACCUGCCCUUCGGUCCUGGAUAACCGCUUGAAAGGGCGGCUAAUACGGGGUGGUCCGGUUGGUCCGCAUGGGCUGGUCGGGAUAGAUUCACUGUUUUUGGUGCUUCGGCGGGGGAUGGGCUCGCGGCCUAUCAGCUUGUUGGUGGGGUGAUGGCCUACCAAGGCGGUGACGGGUAGCCGGCCUGAGGGGGUGGGCGGCCACACUGGGAAGGGGAUACGGCCCAGACUCCUGCGGGAGGCAGCAGUGGGGGGUAUUGCACAAUGGGCGGAAGCCUGAUGCAGCGACGUCGCGUGAGGGAUGGAGGCCUUCGGGUUGUGAACCUCUGUUUCCGGUGGUGAAGGCCCUGUCCGUGUGGUGGGGUUGACGGUAGCCGGGGAUGAAGCGCCGGCUAACUACGUG
This 500-nucleotide ribosomal RNA is filed under the name uncultured bacterium. Its description in RNAcentral is "partial 16S ribosomal RNA". It matches the Rfam family "Bacterial small subunit ribosomal RNA", at positions 28 to 507 of the family's 1533-position model. The record is from RNAcentral.